AACCCAUGGUGAGGGCACCUUCGCAAUAGGUCCUUGUAUCUCUCCCACGCAUCAUAAAGGGUUUCCAAAUCCAUCUGCACAAAGGAAGAGAUAUCAUUAUGUAAUU
Molecule: small nucleolar RNA, 106 nt
Filed under: Gossypium arboreum
Lineage: Eukaryota; Viridiplantae; Streptophyta; Magnoliopsida; Malvales; Malvaceae
Description: Plant small nucleolar RNA R71
Rfam family: Plant small nucleolar RNA R71
About the family: R71 is a member of the C/D box family of snoRNAs containing the C (UGAUGA) and D (CUGA) box motifs. Multiple nearly identical copies of this snoRNA have been identified in Arabidopsis, and it is thought to function as a 2'-O-ribose methylation guide for 18S ribosomal RNA.
Source: Rfam by way of RNAcentral